GGCCCCUUGGUCAAGUGGUUAAGACAUCGCCCUUUCACGGCGGUAUCACGGGUUCGAAUCCCGUAGGGGUCAUCA
This 75-nucleotide transfer RNA is filed under the name Alloiococcus otitis ATCC 51267. RNAcentral's name for it is "tRNA-Glu". It matches the Rfam family "tRNA". From Rfam's summary of the family: Transfer RNA (tRNA) molecules are approximately 80 nucleotides in length. Their secondary structure includes four short double-helical elements and three loops (D, anti-codon, and T loops). Lineage: Bacteria; Bacillati; Bacillota; Bacilli; Lactobacillales; Carnobacteriaceae. The record is from RNAcentral. RNAcentral also lists the same sequence under 1 other name.